RNAcentral lists this ribosomal RNA (527 nucleotides) under uncultured bacterium. RNAcentral's name for it is "partial 16S ribosomal RNA". It matches the Rfam family "Bacterial small subunit ribosomal RNA", at positions 355 to 874 of the family's 1533-position model. The record is from RNAcentral.
UGGGGAAUUUUGGACAAUGGGCGAAAGCCUGAUCCAGCAAUGCCGCGUGUGUGAAGAAGGCCUUCGGGUUGUAAAGCACUUUUGUCCGGAAAGAAAUCCUUGGCUCUAAUACAGUCGGGGGAUGACGGUACCGGAAGAAUAAGCACCGGCUAACUACGUGCCAGCAGCCGCGGUAAUACGUAGGGUGCAAGCGUUAAUCGGAAUUACUGGGCGUAAAGCGUGCGCAGGCGGUUUGCUAAGACCGAUGUGAAAUCCCCGGGCUCAACCUGGGAACUGCAUUGGUGACUGGCAGGCUAGAGUAUGGCAGAGGGGGGUAGAAUUCCACGUGUAGCAGUGAAAUGCGUAGAGAUGUGGAGGAAUACCGAUGGCGAAGGCAGCCCCCUGGGCCAAAUACUGACGCUCAUGCACGAAAGCGUGGGGAGCAAACAGGAUUAGAUACCCUGGUAGUCCACGCCCUAAAACGAUGUCAACUAGUUGUGGGGAUUCAUUUCCUUAGUAACGUAGCUAACGCGUGAAGUUGACCGCCU